Molecule: ribosomal RNA, 253 nt
Filed under: uncultured bacterium
Lineage: Bacteria
Description: partial 16S ribosomal RNA
Rfam family: Bacterial small subunit ribosomal RNA
Source: RNAcentral
UACGUAGGGUGCAAGCGUUAAUCGGAAUUACUGGGCGUAAAGCGUGCGCAGGCGGUUGUGCAAGACCGAUGUGAAAUCCCCGGGCUUAACCUGGGAAUGGCAUUGGUGACUGCACGGCUAGAGUGUGUCAGAGGGGGGUAGAAUUCCACGUGUAGCAGUGAAAUGCGUAGAGAUGUGGAGGAAUACCGAUGGCGAAGGCAGCCCCCUGGGAUGACACUGACGCUCAUGCACGAAAGCGUGGGGAGCAAACAGG